This is a long non-coding RNA of Gopherus evgoodei (Goodes thornscrub tortoise), 2263 nucleotides long. RefSeq lists it as uncharacterized. Lineage: Eukaryota; Metazoa; Chordata; Testudines; Testudinidae. The transcript has 3 exons. The record is from RefSeq and is a predicted model, not a curated record.
AUUGAAAAAUAAAUACACAGAAGAGAGAAAAUCUGAGACAAGGAUGGAGAGAAAAUCCCCACCCCAUCAUACCCCCGUCUGCUUCUCACCCCUGCCAGCCCCCAACUGCCAAGAGACCAGGCAUCCAGUCUGCUCCUCACUCUCUAUAACCCUCAACCUCUGAGGGGCCAAGCACUCAACCUGCUCCUCGCUCCCCUCCUCCCUCAGUCACCAAGGGACCAGGCACCCCGUUUGCUCCUCACCCCACAACAAGGAAGGGGUAUAGUAGAACCUGAUAUGUAAUCCCCCUGCAACUGAAGAAGUAACCUGGUUUGGUAUGUUUUCAGACGCUUGUGAGCCAAGAAUGCCUGUUCCUAUGGAAGCGCUGUGACACCAUGGUGAUGGGUGCUAAUAUGAAACACUCAGAUAAAAAGGACCAUACUUCAGAGCAGCAUUUGCCACCUUUGGUACAGGAUCACAUGCUGUCACUUCCAGUUGGAUUGGAUGGCACACAGUAACUGGGACAACGGUCCUGUAGAUCUAGGUCUCUCACUGCGGUAAGUUCUGUUUUACAGUCACCAGUGGGAAAAGCAUUUGUAUUACCGGAGUGCCCAGAGGCCCAAGCCAAAACUGAGGCCCCUUUGUGCUAGGUAUAGACAGUUCCUACCCCAAAGACCUCACAAUGUGAAUAGGCACAGUGUCGGAGGAAGGAAAGAUUAUCAUCCUCAUUUAACAGAUGUGGAAGCCUGAAAUUCAGCAGAUCGGUGAUUUGAUCAAAGUCAUACAGGGAAUCUGACACAGCUGGGGGAAAAAUGAGAUCUCCUGUGCCUCUGUCCAGUGCCUUAGCCACAAGAUCAUCCUUUCUUCUCAUUUCCCGGCUCUAAACAUUCACUUACUCAGGAAGGGAAGGGAUGUUCUUCCUGCUUUCUAGCUGUUGUUUACGUGAUAAUUGGUUACACAUUCAGCAGCACAUUUUUUUCCUUAUCUGUCUCUAAUAGGCUUCCUCCACCCACUCUGAACCCCAGUUCCAAGCCAGCAAUUUCAAGAUACAAGUUGCUCAUCAGCAUGUCAGGCAGCAGGCUGAAACCUUGAUCAGGCCUGUGGCACUGCUGGAGACUGCAAAUCAAGCUAGUUGGGACUCACUACCAUUAAUCGGUUAAUUCGUCCCCUUGGAGCCAUGAAGGAGCCUCACACUCAGGAGAAAUUUCCCUGGAUCGGGACGGAGGACUUGUCUGUUGUCCUGCGAGAGGAGAUUGUGUUGUCGAGAGAUAUUGAAUGUAGUGCAUAUCACCAUGUGAUUCAGGUGGGGCCCGCCAUCCUAUCAGGGAGGCGUCUGUUGUGAUUUGAACUGAUGGUGUUUCCUGUUGGAAAGGUAGGCCUGAGCACACAUUUGAUGGGUUUGUCCACCAGUGCAGUGAUUGAAUCACCUCUGCGGUGAGAGUGUGAUUCUCUUGUUUAGGCUGUGCCUCUGUGGUAGGUAGACUGUAUUUAGCCAUGUUUGUAGGCACUGUAUGUGUAGCCUGACGUGCUUGCCACUGCAUAUGUAGCCUGGCAUACUGGGACGUGCACUAGUAGGUGUAAGCAGGUGCAUGCAUGCACUCAUGGGCUGUGUGAGACCACUGAUGUAAAGGAGGUCAUCUUUGUAAAGCAGAGCUCUGGAAGGGAUGCUCUGGCCGUGAGUGAAUCCAGGCGAGCAUCUAUGAAUUCCAGUUGUUGUACUGGAGUGAGAGUGAUUUCUUUCCAUUGAUUUGUAGCCCCAGGGAGUGGAAGAGGGAGAUGGUUAGUUGAACACCUCUUUCUGUUCUGUCUUUGUGGAGCCCUUGAUUAGGCAGUCGUUUAAGUAAGGGAACAGGAGUAUCCCUUGUCUGCGUAAGUGCACUGCUACUACCGCCAGUGUUUUGGUGAACACUCUUGGUGCUGUCUACAGGCUGAAUGGAAGGACUCUGUAUUGGAAGUGUUCUUGUCCUACUGUGAACUUUAUGAAGCGUCUUUAUGAAGAGCCAGGUGGAUUUUAAUGUGAAAGUAUGCAUCUUGUAGGUCAAGGGCUGUGAAUCAGUCACUUUCUUCAGGUGUAGGGAUGAUUGAGUUCAGGCUGACCAUUUUGAAUCUGUGGGCACGGACAAAUUUGUUGUUUUCCUCUCAGGUAUCCACCCCCUAUAUUUCUUUUGAGCCAGAAAGUAAUGGGAAUAAAAUCUCUUCCCAGUGUGUUGUGUUAGGACUAGUUCCACCAUCCCUAUUUGCAGAAGGUGAUGCACCUCUUGUUUCAAUAGAUGCUCGUGGGAAG